CCUACGGGUGGCAGCAGUCGAGAAUCAUUCACAAUGGGGGAAACCCUGAUGGUGCGACGCCGCGUGGGGGAAUGAAGGUCUUCGGAUUGUAAACCCCUGUCAUGUGGGAGCAAAUUAAAAAGAUAGUACCACAAGAGGAAGAGACGGCUAACUCUGUGCCAGCAGCCGCGGUAAUACAGAGGUCUCAAGCGUUGUUCGGAAUCACUGGGCGUAAAGCGUGCGUAGGCGGUUUCGUAAGUCGGGUGUGAAAGGUGCGGGCUCAACCCGCGGACGGCACAUGAUACUGCGAGACUAGAGUAAUGGAGUGGGAACCGGAAUUCUCGGUGUAGCAGUGAAAUGCGUAGAUAUCGAGAGGAACACUCGUGGCGAAGGCGGGUUCCUGGACAUUAACUGACGCUGAGGCACGAAGGCCAGGGGAGCGAAAGGGAUUAGAUACCCGGGUAGUC
RNAcentral lists this ribosomal RNA (446 nucleotides) under uncultured bacterium. RNAcentral's name for it is "partial 16S ribosomal RNA". It matches the Rfam family "Bacterial small subunit ribosomal RNA", at positions 338 to 795 of the family's 1533-position model. The record is from RNAcentral.